GACCUAAUGGUGAAACGGUAUCGCGUCCGCAGUGUAUAUCAUGGUCGGACUAUACUAUGGUGGAAGUCCCUGGUUCGACUCCAGGUUAGGUCA
Molecule: non-coding RNA, 93 nt
Organism: Mycena latifolia
Lineage: Eukaryota; Fungi; Basidiomycota; Agaricomycetes; Agaricales; Mycenaceae
Source: the annotation of a GenBank genome assembly